RNAcentral lists this microRNA (22 nucleotides) under Macaca fascicularis (crab-eating macaque). RNAcentral's name for it is "microRNA miR-3164-3p". Lineage: Eukaryota; Metazoa; Chordata; Mammalia; Primates; Cercopithecidae. The record is from RNAcentral.
CCGUUUUGCUUGAAGUUGCAGU